UCUCGGGAUUGAGGUAAUACUCCAUAGGUCACGGGGUCUGGAACGACCCGUGGCCGAAAGCCCCGGCGCCUAAGGAUCGCUCUGCGGCUUAUCAGGUCGUAGUGGGUGUAACGUACCCCCUAGCCGACGAGGAGUAUGGGCCUUGAGAGAGGGAGCCCAGAGUUGGAUUCUGAGACACGAAUCCAGGCCCUACGGGGCGCAGCAGUCGCGAAAACUUCACACUGGGGGCAACCCCGAUGAGGGAAUUCCUAGUGCCAGGGCCUCUGGUCCUGGCUUUUCUCCGGCGUAGACGACCGGAGGAAUAAGGGCUGGGCAAGACGGGUGCCAGCCGCCGCGGUAAUACCUGCAGCCCGAGUGGUGGUCGAUUUUAUUGAGUCUAAAACGUUCGUAGCCGGCCCGGUAAAUCCCUGGGUAAAUCGGGAAGCUCAACUUCCCGAAUUCCGGGGAGACUGCCGGGCUUGGGACCGGGAGAGGCUAGAGGUACUUCUGGGGUAGGGGUAAAAUCCUGUAAUCCUGGAAGGACCACCGGUGGCGAAGGCGUCUAGCUAGAACGGAUCCGACGGUGAGGGACGAAGCCCUGGGUCGCAAACGGGAUUAGAUACCCCGGUAGUCCAGGGUGUAAACGCUGCAGACUUGGUGUUGGGGGCCCUUCGGGGGCGUCCAGUGCCGGAGAGAAGUUGUUAAGUCUGCUACUUGGGGAGUACGUCCGCAAGGAUGAAACUUAAAGGAAUUGGCGGGGGAGCACCGCAACGGGAGGAGCGUGCGGUUUAAUUGGAUUCAACACCGGAAAACUCAUCAAGGGCGACUGUUACAUGAAAGCCAGGCCGAUGACCUUGCUAGAUUUUCAGAGAGGUGGUGCAUGGCCGUCGUCAGUUCGUACCGUAAGGCGUUCUCUUAAGUGAGAUAACGAACGAGACCCUCACCGAUAAUUGCUACCCCUUCCUCCGGGGAGGGGGCACAUUAUAGGGACCGCUGGCGCUAAGCCAGAGGAAGGAGAGGUCAACGGUAGGUCAGUAUGCCCCGAAUCUCUUGGGCUACACGCGCGCUACAAAGGGCGGGACAAUGGGCUCCGACGCCGAGAGGCGGAGGCAAUCCCGAAACCCGUCCGUAGUUCGGAUCGGGGGUUGUAACUCACCCCCGUGAAGCUGGAUUCCGUAGUAAUCGCGAAUCAUCAA
This 1175-nucleotide ribosomal RNA is filed under the name uncultured Methanobrevibacter sp. RNAcentral's name for it is "bacterial SSU rRNA". It matches the Rfam family "Archaeal small subunit ribosomal RNA", at positions 130 to 1311 of the family's 1478-position model. The record is from RNAcentral. Lineage: Archaea; Methanobacteriati; Methanobacteriota; Methanobacteria; Methanobacteriales; Methanobacteriaceae.